UCCCUGGUGGCUCAGACGGUAAAGCAUCUGCCUGCAGUGUAGGAGGACCCGGGUUCAAUCCCUGGGUUGGGAG
This 73-nucleotide transfer RNA is filed under the name Ovis aries (sheep). It matches the Rfam family "tRNA". Rfam says of the family: Transfer RNA (tRNA) molecules are approximately 80 nucleotides in length. Lineage: Eukaryota; Metazoa; Chordata; Mammalia; Artiodactyla; Bovidae. The record is from Rfam by way of RNAcentral.